RNAcentral lists this ribosomal RNA (253 nucleotides) under uncultured bacterium. RNAcentral describes it as "partial 16S ribosomal RNA". It matches the Rfam family "Bacterial small subunit ribosomal RNA", at positions 524 to 776 of the family's 1533-position model. The record is from RNAcentral.
UACAGAGGUCCCAAGCGUUGUUCGGAUUCACUGGGCGUAAAGGGUGCGUAGGCGGUUGGGUAAGUCUGAUGUGAAAUCUCACAGCUUAACUGUGAAACUGCAUUGGAUACUAUCCGGCUAGAGGAAUGGGGGGGAGACUGGAAUACUUGGUGUAGCAGUGAAAUGCGUAGAUAUCAAGUGGAACACCAGUGGCGAAGGCGAGUCUCUGGACAUUUCCUGACGCUGAGGCACGAAAGCCAGGGGAGCAAACGGG